Struthio camelus australis is the source of this 1533-nucleotide long non-coding RNA. RefSeq lists it as uncharacterized. Lineage: Eukaryota; Metazoa; Chordata; Aves; Struthioniformes; Struthionidae. The record is from RefSeq and is a predicted model, not a curated record.
UGCCCAGCUGUCAAAACAGGGGGUGUCUUUUUCAUUCCAGCUCACAAAGUACCAAAGGGGAAAGGGGCUUUAAUGCCUGUGUUUGGACACAAGCAAUUAUCCCUAAUUAUUGUUUUUCUUUUGAGCCUGCCCGUCCUGCUGGAGAGCCAGCAGAUGAGCAUGCCCUAAUCCUCGCCAGUCGGUUGAUCUCAGUGGGUUUUGCAGGACAAACCGGGCGAGAAGGCUUCGUGGCUUUCAUCUCGAUGGUUGCAUAGCAAUCCAAGGACCCAGACUUCAAUGUUCUUUCUUCAGUAAUUCACCCUUACUGAAAGAGAAAAGAAAAGAGAAAAGAAGAGAAGAGAAGAGGAAAGGAAAGGAGAAGAGAAAAGAGAAGAGAUGAGAAGAGAAAGGAAGGAGGUCUCACAGAAGAGUGACAGGCUAUGUGAAUCCAGCCGUGGAUGUGUGUUCAUGUGCAUAAGAAAAGACAGUAUGCCUUUCUCUCCCCCAGCAUGACAGCUUCAAAAUACACCCGUACACUUUUUCCGUGCAAUCUGUGAGAGCGGAAUGGAGUGCCUUGCUUGGGUACACACCAGCUAGCGCUGACUAAGUGGUCGACUGGACACCUGAAUGAGAGCAGGAGAGAAGUCACACCAAUGGGAGGAGAAUUAGGAGGAGUUUACCAGAAGUAUCUAUCUGUACCUGUGUGCUCCCUGUCAGCACUCACCUGUGACGUAACAGAUUAUUCUCAAAACCUCUCUCACCCUGAUUUGGAGUGGGGACUUGAACUCAGCUCUUCCAUAUCCCAGGAGAGGAAAUCUACAGCCAAUCUGUUGGAUAAUUGCACUCUCUCUCCUGUAGAAGCUGUUCUGUUUUGUAUGAAUAAUUAACUACUCAUUACAGUAGUGGUUUGGACCUGACUUGCCCACAUCCCAGAUGAGCACACUAAUCAGCAGGCUGGAGAAUCACUCUCUCACACUUCCCGUUCUCCUGUCUGGCUCAGCAAACAUUUAAUUAUUUAUACAAAGGGUUUAAUAUUGCUUAAAGAGAAUUUGAUAACUGUUUUUCUCUGUCCUCAGGUAAGUUCUUGCUCUCAGGAACACUGGGCUAAGUAUGAUUGUGCGUGAGCAGGGCACAGGGAAAGGCCUUCUUCUACACUUCAUAGCAAUGAGGCCUAGCUUGCCUACUUCCAAAAGGAGGGUCACAGCUGAGAACCUCAGCGAGGCAUGGCUGGGAUUCAUGCACCUGAAUGCCUAAGGCAUUGCUGUCCUUAGCAUUUCACACCUAAGGGAAGGGAAGUCCCCUCUUUUCUCUUCUAGAGAACCUAACUCUUCCCCUGGUUGGUAGCAGAAGCAGGAAUAUCCCUGCUUUGGGAACGAGGAUCCCAAAGGGAGCCUAAGCCCCAAUGUCUGAUCUGCGUUCUUUCAUCAUCUUACCCCUUGUUCCUCUGACUCCGUGAAUUCAUCGCAGCAGCUCCAAGAAAUUAUAAGUGAGACUUUGGACUCACUUAGGUGUAGUACCUGAUAUGAACUUGAAUUCUUCAGCUGAAUCACAGCG